GCACCUAAACCAAUAACAUUAAUAAUCAAUUUUCUUUAUAUACAGCUUUGCUUCUCCUUGUGCUUCUCCUCUUCCCCCAUAAGUCAUCUGAGAAGACUGCUUAAAUAUUCCACGCUGCCUUAGUGUGACUCAAAUUUCCAGCUGUUUUGCUGCCAGGAAGAACCAGGUGCCUUGGGAACAGUGAGGCUGAAAGGAGCAGGAAGCAAAGAAUGAGGCUGUUGAAGAAAUUCCACAGAUAUUUCCGUGGAAGUAUCAAGAAGACCUAGAGUAAGGCAUCAUCAAAUUGAUAGACUUGAACAAAAGGGAGGAGUGAGACAGACGGAUGGAUACAGAGCAUGGAGGCCAUACUCUUGGUAUGUCUUCAAUUCAAGCAUUCCAAAUGAAAGGAUCUGAUUGGUUUGACAACACUCCCUCUCAGGUAAAAUAUUUCCAUCGGGAAGAACUCUAGAAGCAGUCGUUUGGAUGGUCAACCUUUGGCCAGGAGCCUCUCUCCUAGAAGCCGCUGGGCAUCUAAGAUGUGUGAGCACUAGAGCCUCCUUGCACAGAGCUGGUGGGUCACUGAAGGCUGGCCUCACCACAGCCCCCAGAAGGUGAGUUUUGUCCUAGGGGUAAGUAUUACAGUUCCCUCUGCUCUUGUUUAUCUCCACAAACACCCAAAUCUGCUUCUGUUCCAAGACUGUUUCAUUCCAGACUGAUUUUCUUUUGUAUUUGAAUGACCACCAGCAUUUUCCCCCCUUGAACUCUGGCUGCUGAUCCAUUCUUUGUCUUAAUUCCUCUAUUCCUCUCUCUGCUGCAGUUCUCAUCACUGACAUAGCCAGGCCAUUACUCUGUUUUUGCCAAGCCCUGUGGGGCAGAGCUGGCAUUUUCUGAGCUAAUUUCUUCUGAGAUGUAAUUGAGAUACUGUAAAGCCUCC
This 913-nucleotide long non-coding RNA is filed under the name Homo sapiens (human). Its description in RNAcentral is "HSALNT0187208". Lineage: Eukaryota; Metazoa; Chordata; Mammalia; Primates; Hominidae. The record is from RNAcentral.